AACGCUAGCUACAGGCUUAACACAUGCAAGUCGAGGGGCAGCAUGGUCUUAGCUUGCUAAGGCUGAUGGCGACCGGCGCACGGGUGAGUAACACGUAUGCAACCUGGCCGUGACAGAUGGAUAACCGGGAGAAAUUCCGCCUAAUACAGCAUAACACCACUGGAUGACAUCCUCCGGUGGUCAAAGGAGGCGACUCCGGUCACGGAUGGGCAUGCGGCGCAUUAGGUAGUUGGUGAGGCAACGGCUCACCAAGCCGACGAUGCGUAGGGGUUCUGAGAGGAAGGUCCCCCACAUUGGAACUGAGACACGGUCCAAACUCCUACGGGAGGCAGCAGUGAGGAAUAUUGGUCAAUGGCCGGAAGGCUGAACCAGCCAAGUCGCGUGAGGGAAUAAGGCCCUACGGGUCGUAAACCUCUUUUGUCCGGGAGCAAGGACAUCCACGUGUGGAUGUUCGGAGAGUACCGGAAGAAAAAGCAUCGGCUAACUCCGUGCCAGCAGCCGCGGUAAUACGGAGGAUGCGAGCGUUAUCCGGAUUUAUUGGGUUUAAAGGGUGCGUAGGCGGCAUGAAAAGUCAGCGGUAAAAUAGCGGGGCUCAACCCCGUCGAGCCGUUGAAACUUUCAGGCUUGAGUGAGCGAGAAGUAUGCGGAAUGCGUGGUGUAGCGGUGAAAUGCAUAGAUAUCACGAAGAACUCCGAUUG
RNAcentral lists this ribosomal RNA (698 nucleotides) under uncultured bacterium. Its description in RNAcentral is "bacterial SSU rRNA". It matches the Rfam family "Bacterial small subunit ribosomal RNA", at positions 32 to 715 of the family's 1533-position model. The record is from RNAcentral.